CCUACGGGUGGCAGCAGUGAGGAAUAUUGGUCAAUGGACGAGAGUCUGAACCAGCCAAGUAGCGUGAAGGAUGACUGCCCUAUGGGUUGUAAACUUCUUUUAUAUGGGAAUAAAAUGUUCCACGUGUGGGAUUUUGUAUGUACCAUAUGAAUAAGGAUCGGCUAACUCCGUGCCAGCAGCCGCGGUAAUACGGAGGAUCCGAGCGUUAUCCGGAUUUAUUGGGUUUAAAGGGAGCGUAGGUGGAUUGUUAAGUCAGUUGUGAAAGUUUGCGGCUCAACCGUAAAAUUGCAGUUGAAACUGGCAGUCUUGAGUACAGUAGAGGUGGGCGGAAUUCGUGGUGUAGCGGUGAAAUGCUUAGAUAUCACUAAAAACUCCGAUUGCGAAGGCAGUUCACUGGACUGCAACUGACACUGAGGCUCGAAAGUGUGGGUAUCAAACAGGAUUAGAUACCCUUGUAGUC
Molecule: ribosomal RNA, 460 nt
Filed under: uncultured bacterium
Lineage: Bacteria
Description: partial 16S ribosomal RNA
Rfam family: Bacterial small subunit ribosomal RNA
Source: RNAcentral